This 312-nucleotide long non-coding RNA is filed under the name Homo sapiens (human). RNAcentral describes it as "HSALNT0323959". Lineage: Eukaryota; Metazoa; Chordata; Mammalia; Primates; Hominidae. The record is from RNAcentral.
GGCCUGGCAGGAGGUGACUGGAUCAUGGGGGCGCGUUUCCUCUGAGUACUGUUCUGGUGAUAGUGAGUGAGCUGUCGUCAUGAGAUCUGGUCGUGUAAAGCUGUCACAUCUACCUGCGGAAUUCACCUUAUACCUUAGAGAGAGGCUGCAGUCAGUGACAGCUGAUGGGAAAUGCAUCUGUUCCUUUGAGUAAUUCAGCAACAUCAUUACUUCUCAGAAAUGAUAAUUUCUCGCCGGGCGCAGUGCUCACGUCUGUAAUCCCAGCACUUUGGGAGGCCAAGGCGGGCGGAUCACGAGGUCAAGAAAUCGAGA